RNAcentral lists this ribosomal RNA (253 nucleotides) under uncultured Mucispirillum sp. Its description in RNAcentral is "partial 16S ribosomal RNA". It matches the Rfam family "Bacterial small subunit ribosomal RNA", at positions 524 to 776 of the family's 1533-position model. Lineage: Bacteria; Pseudomonadati; Deferribacterota; Deferribacteres; Deferribacterales; Mucispirillaceae. The record is from RNAcentral.
UACGUAGGGGGCGAGCGUUGUUCGGAGUGACUGGGCGUAAAGAGCACGUAGGCGGUGUUGUAAGUCAUUAGUCAAAGACUAGAGCUCAACUUUAGUAAGGCUAGUGAUACUAUAAUACUAGAGUAUCAGAGAGGAUUGCAGAAUUCCUGGUGUAGCGGUGAAAUGCGUAGAGAUUAGGAAGAACACCAGUGGCGAAGGCGACUUACUGGACUGUAACUGACGCUGAGGCAUGAGAGCAUGGGGAGCAAACAGG